CGAAAGACCUUACCCAGACUUGACAUGCAGAAGACGACAUUAGAGAUAGUGUUUUCCUUCGGGACUUCUGCACAGGUGCUGCAUGGCUGUCGUCAGCUCGUGCCGUGAGGUGUUGGGUUAAGUCCCGCAACGAGCGCAACCCUUAUCAUUAGUUGCCAACACGUAAUGGUGGGAACUUUAAUGAGACUGCCUGGGUUAACCAGGAGGAAGGUGAGGAUGACGUCAAGUCCGCAUGGCCCUUAUGUCUGGGGCUACACACGUGCUACAAUGGUCGGUACAGAAGGCAGCGAAGCCGCGAGGUGAAGCAAAUCCCAAAAACCGAUCCCAGUUCAGAUUGUAGUCUGCAACUCGACUACAUGAAGAUGGAAUUGCUAGUAAUGGCGAGUCAGCAU
RNAcentral lists this ribosomal RNA (392 nucleotides) under uncultured bacterium. RNAcentral's name for it is "bacterial SSU rRNA". It matches the Rfam family "Bacterial small subunit ribosomal RNA", at positions 962 to 1355 of the family's 1533-position model. The record is from RNAcentral.